Long non-coding RNA from Lineus longissimus, 490 nucleotides. RefSeq lists it as uncharacterized. The transcript is spliced from 3 exons. Lineage: Eukaryota; Metazoa; Nemertea; Pilidiophora; Heteronemertea; Lineidae. The record is from RefSeq and is a predicted model, not a curated record.
GAUGUGGCAUCAAACAAACAAAAAAGACCUUUACCUGAAGAGGACAAGUCAGUUGUCGGCUUUGUUCAUAAUACUUCACCAGUGAAAAGAUCUAAAACAAAUAUGAACUACUUCGACUCACAAAUUCAAACAGGAUCUACACAAUUUCAACGAGUGGUUUGCUUUCACCAAAGACACCACGCCUUUUUCAAGGAGGCUGAAGAAAAAAAAAGCCCAAUCAAGCUCGCCAAAAUCCACACAACACCCAACUGGUAUGACAACACCAAGGAAGAUAUCAAAGUCAACAAGGACACCACCCUUGAAAACACCAAGAAAGCUCUUUCCUUUAAGUACAAGACACCGAAACUUCAGCAACCCGUAACAACAACUGUUACUGAUUUCGUUUACAAAGUUCCAUCAACAGAAAAGAAUAAGAUCAAUAUCACAGCCUUUGUUAACCAAGUAGUCGAAGAACAAAGUGAGGUUCAACUCAGCUACAAAACGGAGCCAA